RNAcentral lists this ribosomal RNA (253 nucleotides) under uncultured bacterium. Its description in RNAcentral is "partial 16S ribosomal RNA". It matches the Rfam family "Bacterial small subunit ribosomal RNA", at positions 524 to 776 of the family's 1533-position model. The record is from RNAcentral.
UACGGAGGGGGCUAGCGUUGUUCGGAAUUACUGGGCGUAAAGCGCACGUAGGCGGCUUUGUAAGUUAGAGGUGAAAGCCCGGGGCUCAACUCCGGAAUUGCCUUUAAGACUGCAUCGCUAGAAUUGUGGAGAGGUAAGUGGAAUUCCGAGUGUAGAGGUGAAAUUCGUAGAUAUUCGGAAGAACACCAGUGGCGAAGGCGACUUCCUGGACACAUAUUGACGCUGAGGUGCGAAAGCGUGGGGAGCAAACAGG